CCAAAGGCCAGACACAUCUGGAUAAAAACUAAAAAAGCAUCUGGAUGAGAUCUCAAAGACAUCUAACAACGCAUGUUCGAGCUGAGCUUGACUUGUGCUCUCUUCUACUGCCAAAUCCUCAAAGCUUUCAUGGAUGGAAAAAAAAAAGUAAAGAAAAAAAAAAAAGAGCUCAGCCCAGAGAAGGAAAAGUAGUGAGGUUAGUUUCUGAUGAUGGAAAAGUGGAUGAUGAGUCGCCAUUUAAAAUCUCACCUUGGACCAGAAUCUGGAGCCGACAGGUCUGUACUGCAGCUCGAACUUCAGCGGAAAGGCGUUGGACACAUCUGAGGGCCACGAGGCGGGCGGCUUCCACUGUACAACCAGCUGCGUGGGCUCGGUAUCCACUUGCUUGCAGAUCAGAUCCUCAGGAGCAUCAGGCUUUACUACACACACACACACACACACACACAGUUCUGAAUUUUGCCACAUGAUCACAAAAUUCAAGUUCAUAUUGAUCAAUUUAAAGCUUAAUUUUACACACGGAUGGUACGAACAUUGGUCCAUGCAAGUGUUGAUUAUUUCGUUUGUUAUAUUUUAAAAAUAUAUUGUUAAAAGUUACUUGCAGUGCAACAUUAAUGCUGGUAUGUUGAAGUUAACUUGUGUGUUAAAUAAUGUCCGUUAAGUUUCCUGCUAUGUUGCUUACAAUUUUUGUUGACGUCCACAUAAGCGAUGGUGGAUUUGGAGCCGAGUGGAUUCACUUCCGUGAUGUUCACUAGGUGUUUGCUGCCCCAGAACACAGGGUUGCUGAUGGUGCACUCGUUCACAUCCAUCAGCUCUUGUUCACAGGG
Long non-coding RNA from Ictalurus punctatus (channel catfish), 824 nucleotides. RefSeq lists it as uncharacterized. The record is from RefSeq and is a predicted model, not a curated record. The transcript has 2 exons. Lineage: Eukaryota; Metazoa; Chordata; Actinopteri; Siluriformes; Ictaluridae.